UGAAGGAGAUUAAAGAUUUAUCGGUGAUGGAUGGGGAUGCGUCUGAUUAGCUUGUUGGCGGGGUAACGGCCCACCAAGGCUACGAUCAGUAGGGGUUCUGAGAGGAAGGUCCCCCACAUUGGAACUGAGACACGGUCCAAACUCCUACGGGAGGCAGCAGUGAGGAAUAUUGGUCAAUGGACGAGAGUCUGAACCAGCCAAGUAGCGUGCAGGAUGACGGCCCUAUGGGUUGUAAACUGCUUUUAUAAGGGAAUAAAGUGAGUCUCGUGAGGCUUUUUGCAUGUACCUUAUGAAUAAGGACCGGCUAAUUCCGUGCCAGCAGCCGCGGUAAUACGGAAGGUCCGGGCGUUAUCCGGAUUUAUUGGGUUUAAAGGGAGCGUAGGCCGGAGAUUAAGCGUGUUGUGAAAUGUAGAUGCUCAACAUCUGCACUGCAGCGCGAACUGGUUUCCUUGAGUACACACAAAGUGGGCGGAAUUCGUGGUGUAGCGGUGAAAUGCUUAGAUAUCACGAAGAACUCCGAUUGCGAAGGCAGCUCACUGGAGCGCAACUGACGCUGAAGCUCGAAAGUGCGGGUAUCGAACAGGAUUAGAUACCCUGGUAGUCCGCACGGUAAACGAUGGAUGCCCGCUGUUGGUCUGAAUAGGUCAGCGGCCAAGCGAAAGCAUUAAGCAUCCCACCUGGGGAGUAC
Molecule: ribosomal RNA, 688 nt
Filed under: uncultured bacterium
Lineage: Bacteria
Description: bacterial SSU rRNA
Rfam family: Bacterial small subunit ribosomal RNA
Source: RNAcentral